GACAGAGGAUGCAAGCGUUAUCCGGAAUGAUUGGGCGUAAAGCGUCUGUAGGUGGCUUUUUAAGUCCGCCGUCAAAUCCCAGGGCUCAACCCUGGACAGGCGGUGGAAACUACCAAGCUGGAGUACGGUAGGGGCAGAGGGAAUUUCCGGUGGAGCGGUGAAAUGCGCAGAUAUCAGGAGGAACACCGAUGGCGAAGGCAGGUCUCUGGGCCACUACUGACGCUGAGAAGCGAAAGCAUGGGGAGCGAACAGG
This 253-nucleotide ribosomal RNA is filed under the name uncultured bacterium. RNAcentral's name for it is "partial 16S ribosomal RNA". It matches the Rfam family "Bacterial small subunit ribosomal RNA", at positions 524 to 776 of the family's 1533-position model. The record is from RNAcentral.